RNAcentral lists this ribosomal RNA (598 nucleotides) under uncultured fungus. RNAcentral's name for it is "SSU rRNA". It matches the Rfam family "Eukaryotic small subunit ribosomal RNA", at positions 810 to 1429 of the family's 1831-position model. Lineage: Eukaryota; Fungi. The record is from RNAcentral.
UGGAAUAAUGGAAUAGGAAGUGUGGUCUUAUUUCGUUGGUUUCUAGGACCGCCGUAAUGAUUAAUAGGGACAGUCGGGGGCACCAGUAUUCAAUCGUCAGAGGUGAAAUUCUUGGAUCGAUUGAAGACUAACUACUGCGAAAGCAUUUGCCAAGGAUGUUUUCAUUUAUCAGGAACGAAAGUUAGGGGAUCGAAGACGAUCAGAUACCGUCGUAGUCUUAACCAUAAACUAUGCCGACUAGGGAUCGGACGGUGUUAUUUCUUGACCCGUUCGGCACCUUACGAGAAAUCAAAGUGCUUGGGCUCCAGGGGGUGUAUGGUCGCAAGGCUGAAACUUAAAGAAAUUGACGGAAGGGCACCACCAGGGGUGGAGCCUGCGGCUUAAUUUGACUCAACACGGGGAAACUCACCAGGUCCAGACACAACGAGGAUUGACAGAUUGAGAGCUCUUUCUUGAUUUUGUGGGUGGUGGUGCAUGGCCGUUCUUAGUUGGUGGAGUGAUUUGUCUGCUUAAUUGCGAUAACGAACGAGACCUUAACCUGCUAACUAGUCCGUAUUACCCCGGUAGUACGCCGACUUCUUAGAGGGACUAUCGGCUC